GUGUGGAUGGAGGAUCUUAGGGGACAGAUGCCGAGUGAAGACUGGGAAGGGGCCGGUGGGUAAGCAGCCACUGGUCACUGUUUUUAGCACCAGACAUCCACCCUGGAGUCACAGACUCAGCCUGGCUUCCAGAAUUCCAGGGCUCCGGUUUCCCUCCAGAGCCUGGACCAGGCCUGGGAGCUCCCAGGACUCUCUCCAUGUUAGGCCUGGGGCCUGCCCAUCAGAACACCUUAACGUCGUGGUCCCAUUUUAGCUCCCCCAGCGCCUGGUUUGAGAACACCCGGCCGAGUUCCUGCACACUCUCCGCCCCCCACUAGGCUCCAGGAGCAAGCGGUUCUGGGUGUUUGGGCUGGGAAGGAACCGCUGCCUGUGACCCUGGCAAAGCUGAUCUGCCGGCUACUUUUUUGGUACUGGGGUUUGAACCCAGGGGCACUCUACCACAGAGCACAGCCCCAGCCCAUUUUAUUUUGAAACAGGGUCUUGCUAAAUUGCUGAGGCUGGCCUUGAACUUGGGAUCCUCCUGCCUCAGCCUCCUGAGUCACUGGGAUGACAAGCGUGUGCCACGGCUCCAGGCUCCUGCCGGCUACAUUGAUGGGCCUGAUGGAGCUGCUUUACCUCCCCCCCAUCCGGGGCAGCCUGAGCCUCUCCCCAGUAGCACCCUCGCCCUUCCAGAGAGCAUCCUUCGGCUCGCCAGCAAUCUCCCGCUCUCUCCUGCCACCCUGCUCCAGGGCAUCUCGGGGAUUCCAGAAGAACAGGAUCAGAACCCAUUUUGAAGGGUGACUGCCGUACCCCUUUCUCCGCCUCACAGAGGCAGUGACAGGAGGCACAUUCCAGGAUGGAGUCCGAGGACCUCGGGUCCAUGUUGGCUUUUCCGCCUGCCAACUGCUGCCCCCUGGGGAUGAGAAGCCAGUCCAGAGGACAGACUUUGGAGACAGAGAUGUGGGUUUCAACCCAGGGAGUUUCAAUGACCUUAGGUGAGUGACUUAACGCCUUGGAGUCCCUUCUCCCCAUCUGUCAAAUGGAAGAACAGCACCAUUUACCUCCCAGAGCCGUCAUGAGGAUCGGAUCAAAUGCCACCCAGCUGCCUGUCUCUCGUGGCUGCUGGGCCCUAGAAAUGUGGUCAGUCUGAGUGGCAAUGCGCCGAGUGUCAAACACACACAGGAGCUUGAAGACUUGGGGAGGGGGAAUGUAAAAACCUCAAGAUUUUGUGUCUGGAUCAUAAUUGACAAGAUUACAUAAUGAUAACAUUUUGAAACAUUGGGCUAAAUAAAAUACAUUAU
RNAcentral lists this long non-coding RNA (1280 nucleotides) under Marmota monax (woodchuck). The record is from RNAcentral. Lineage: Eukaryota; Metazoa; Chordata; Mammalia; Rodentia; Sciuridae.